UGCCCAUAGAUUUUGUAAUGUUUGAGUCACUCAUAUCACAUGAAUACACAUUAGACAUGGAAAAAUGUAUACAAUUGCAAUAAAAUUUGCUUUAGAACUGCAAAAAUCACCAUCUGACAAAAUGUGUAGAAUUGCAGGAAAUACGCUUUAAGGGGGGUGGAGUCUGUUCCUAUGGGGACCAGGCUGAAAAGGCGGUGUGUGAGGGGGUGGAGUCUGUUCCUAUGGGGACCAGGCUGAAGAGGGGGUGGAGUCUGUUCCUAUGGGGACCAGGCUGAAGAGGGGGUGGAGUAUGUUCCUAUGGGGACCAGGCUGAAAAGGAGGUGUGUGAGUUGAUGGAGUAUGUUCCUAUGGGGACCAGGCUGAAAAGGUGGUGUAUGAGGGGGUGGAGUCUGUUUCUAUGGGGACCAGGCUGAAAAGGUGGUGUGUGAGGGGGUGGAGUCUGUUCCUAUGGGGACCAGGCUGAAAAG
Long non-coding RNA from Oncorhynchus tshawytscha (Chinook salmon), 467 nucleotides. NCBI's taxonomy places the organism in Eukaryota, Metazoa, Chordata, Actinopteri, Salmoniformes, Salmonidae. The record is from Ensembl.